This 441-nucleotide ribosomal RNA is filed under the name uncultured bacterium. RNAcentral's name for it is "partial 16S ribosomal RNA". It matches the Rfam family "Bacterial small subunit ribosomal RNA", at positions 338 to 795 of the family's 1533-position model. The record is from RNAcentral.
CCUACGGGUGGCAGCAGUGGGGAAUAUUUCACAAUGGGGGAAACCCUGAUGCAGCAACGCCGCGUGAGUGAAGAAGUGUCUCGGUAUGUUAAGCUCUAUUAGUAGGGGAGCAAAAAGACGGUACCUUACUAAGAAGCCCCGACUAACUACGUGCCAGCCGCCGCGGUAAGACGUAGGGGGCAAGCGUUAUCCGGAUUUACUGGGUGUAAAGGGAGCGUUGACGGCUGGGCAAGUCUGAAGUGAAAGGCCGUGGCUCAACCGGGGAACUGCUUAGGAAACUGUAUAGCUUGAGUACUGGAGAGGCAGGCGGAAUUCGUGGUGUAGCGGUGAAAGGCGUAGAUAUUAGGAGGAACACCAGUGGCGAAGGCGGCUUGCUGGACAGAAACUGACGUUGAGGCUCGAAAGCGUGGGGAGCGAACAGGAUUAGAUACCCCAGUAGUC